UUUAGUCGUAUACUAUUUUGGGAUGUCAAAACUCAAAACUUAGUUAUUCUGACGGUGAAUAUCGUUAAUUGUUUGGUGAUGUCAACCCAUGUCUAUAUUUUCAAUUGAUUAUUUUGGUACUCGUGUACCGUCUACUAGUAGUAUUGAAUAUCAACUAUUUUAUGUACACAUACGCAUCGAUAUUCGAGUUAUAUACUAUAUAUUAUUUUCAUAUAUAUACGCGUGUGAAGAGUGACAAAAAUGCAUAGGU
RNAcentral lists this long non-coding RNA (250 nucleotides) under Capsella rubella. RNAcentral describes it as "long non-coding RNA (CRUB_LNC004437)". The record is from RNAcentral. Lineage: Eukaryota; Viridiplantae; Streptophyta; Magnoliopsida; Brassicales; Brassicaceae.